AUUGAACGCUGGCGGCAUGCCUUACACAUGCAAGUCGAACGGUAACGGGCCUUCGGGUGCCGACGAGUGGCGAACGGGUGAGUAAUACAUCGGAACGUGCACGAUCGUGGGGAUAACGAGGCGAAAGCUUUGCUAAUACCGCAUACGAUCUACGGAUGAAAGCAGGGGACCGCAAGGCCUUGCGCGGACGGAGCGGCCGAUGGCAGAUUAGGUAGUUGGUGGGAUAAAAGCUUACCAAGCCGACGAUCUGUAGCUGGUCUGAGAGGAUGAUCAGCCACACUGGGACUGAGACACGGCCCAGACUCCUACGGGAGGCAGCAGUGGGGAAUUUUGGACAAUGGGCGCAAGCCUGAUCCAGCCAUGCCGCGUGCAGGAUGAAGGCCUUCGGGUUGUAAACUGCUUUUGUACGGGACGAAAAGCCUUCUUUUAAUACAGGAGGGUCAUGACGGUACCGUAAGAAUAAGCACCGGCUAACUACGUG
Molecule: ribosomal RNA, 481 nt
Filed under: uncultured bacterium
Lineage: Bacteria
Description: partial 16S ribosomal RNA
Rfam family: Bacterial small subunit ribosomal RNA
Source: RNAcentral